CAACCUGAUGAAACGGCACUGGGCUCCGAGAGUACCCAAAAGGGACUCGGCAUGAGCAGACAAGCCACCUUGCGGCAGGCCUAGAAAACCUCGCCCACUGAUC
This is a non-coding RNA of Colletotrichum orbiculare MAFF 240422, 103 nucleotides long. NCBI's taxonomy places the organism in Eukaryota, Fungi, Ascomycota, Sordariomycetes, Glomerellales, Glomerellaceae. The record is from Rfam.